GAACGGGGCGUGGUUAGCUCACAGGUCCAGAGACCCAGACCAAAGCAACAGCACCACACUGACUACUCGAGAAGAGGAAGAAAAUGGAGGAGAAGGACUAUAAGGCAAACUACUAAAUGAAAAUAACAACAUGGAAGACGUCGGUGGGCUCCAAGACUUAACUGGUUCUUAUCUGGUCUUCUCUGGUCUUAUCUGGUCCGCCCAAUGCUGCUCUUCUGAGAGCAACCGCUCUGACAGCUCUCUCUAGUCUCUACUGGGAAACAGCUAAAAGUCCUUCUGGAGGCUUUGCAUUUGAACUCCUAUGACUGGUUGCGGACUUGAAGGGAACGCCUUCCUGACAUCCAGGAAAAAGUUUUAUUGGACAGAGGCAGUAGAUAUCUACUGGAAACAGUGGAGAGGGAGGAGAUGAUAUGCAGCAAAAGGCCCAGCCGGAUGGUUGCUGCUCCGUGUGGAACGUGUCCUAUCAGGUGUAACAUCUACCAAUGGUUGUACAUGACAGAGACCUCCUCCACCUCUUUGCUGUCUUACUAGUCAAUCCUUCUGAUCAGGUCCUUUCCUAAAUAGUGAAAGGAUCAUGCCAGCCCACAUCAAACACCUGAUCAAGAACUUGUGAACCUCACUGCUGCAGACACCUGUGUGAUAUUCCACUCUGACUGGAACCCUCAAAAUGACCUGCAGGCUCAAGCUCGGUGUCAUCGUUUUGGCCAGUCUAAGGCGGUGGAGGUGUACCGUCUGAUCACUAGAAACUAUGAGAGGGAAAUGCUGGAUAAAGCUAGUCUGAAGCUCGGGCUGGACCGUCCCGUCCUGCAGAGCAUGAGUGGCAACAACAACGGGCCGGUCCAGCAGUUCUCCAAGAAGGAGAUCGAGGACCUGCUGAGGAAAGGAGCCUACGCCGCCAUCAUGGACGAGAACGACGAAGGCAAUCGCUUCUGCUAGGAGGACAUCGACCAGAUCCUGCAGCGAAGAGCCACCAUCAACACCAUCACCAGUUUGCUUCAAGCAGUGGCUGCACGAGAAAGACGUGGAGGACCAAGAAAUGCUGGCCAGAUUGGCAAAGACCGGAAGAUACAUAACAGCGAAGAUAAUGGAUAUUAACAAGAAAAAAGAAAAAAAAUGUUUAUAAUUUCUUUGUUGCUGUUUACAUUUUGAAUUAUAUUUGUUAUUUUUAAAUCAAAUGCAUCUUUUUUAGAUGAUAUAUUUAUUUAGAUGUAGGUUUUUUUUGUAAUAUUAUUGUAUUAAGUAUAAUUUAUUAAAUAAAAAUACUGUUAUGAACACUAUACAAUGUCUUUAUUUUGAUAGUUACCAGAAUACAUUGUAUAUUUAAUAAUAACAUAAGCUGGUGAUAGAUAAAUGCUGGUCUGCUCGUAUGCCAGCAGACAAAUAUUUAUAAAGACAGGGUAUGGCUGGAGUAGGCUACACCCAUACCAAGAAAUGGCUUAGCCCCACCAUGAAAAA
Molecule: long non-coding RNA, 1455 nt
Organism: Gymnodraco acuticeps
Lineage: Eukaryota; Metazoa; Chordata; Actinopteri; Perciformes; Bathydraconidae
Exons: 8
Source: RefSeq, a predicted model, not a curated record